RNAcentral lists this ribosomal RNA (370 nucleotides) under Lipophrys pholis (shanny). Its description in RNAcentral is "partial 12S ribosomal RNA". It matches the Rfam family "Bacterial small subunit ribosomal RNA", at positions 847 to 1385 of the family's 1533-position model. The record is from RNAcentral. Lineage: Eukaryota; Metazoa; Chordata; Actinopteri; Blenniiformes; Blenniidae.
GGUAAAUUACUUAUACCAUCCGCCCGGGAACUACGAGCAUUAGCUUAAAACCCAAAGGACUUGGCGGUGCUUAAUAACCCCCUAGAGGAGCCUGUUCUAGAACCGAUACCCCUCGUUAAACCUCACCCUUUCUAGCUUAUUCCGCCUGUAUACCGCCGUCGCCAGCUUACCCUGUGAAGGUUUCAUAGUAAGCAUAAUUAGUAAAACCCAAAACGUCAGGUCGAGGUGCAGCACACGAAAGGGAAAGAAAUGGGCUACAUUACCUGUUUACAGGUUAAUACGAAAAGUGUACUGAAAAAUACACUAGAAGGAGGAUUUAGUAGUAAGAGGGGAACAGAGUGCCCCACUGAAACCGGCCCUUAAGCGCGCA